UGCGAAAAUGAAAGUUUUAAUUCUGUUUGUCUCAUUUUAUGUGUGUUUUUUCGAUUAUAUUUGUUGUAACGAGGGUAAUGCUGUAAAUUUAAACCAAACCACUAUAAAAAUAUCUGCAUUGCCGGUUCCUAUGUAUGUUAUAGUAAAUGAAGAAAACGAUAAAGUUAUUGGUGGUGUCGAUUUUAAUUUUUUUAAGUUGGUG
Molecule: long non-coding RNA, 202 nt
Organism: Centruroides sculpturatus (bark scorpion)
Lineage: Eukaryota; Metazoa; Arthropoda; Arachnida; Scorpiones; Buthidae
Exons: 3
Source: RefSeq, a predicted model, not a curated record